AGCGAGAUGGCGCAGCUGGUAGCGCGCUGGGCUCAUACAAACGCAGUGUCACCCAGAGGUCGUCGGAUCGAAACUGACUCUCGCUA
RNAcentral lists this transfer RNA (86 nucleotides) under Phakopsora pachyrhizi. RNAcentral's name for it is "tRNA-Met". It matches the Rfam family "tRNA". From Rfam's summary of the family: Transfer RNA (tRNA) molecules are approximately 80 nucleotides in length. The record is from RNAcentral. Lineage: Eukaryota; Fungi; Basidiomycota; Pucciniomycetes; Pucciniales; Phakopsoraceae.